UACCUCAGUAACGGCGAGUGAAGCGGUAACAGCUCAAAUUUGAAAUCUGGCUCUUUCAGGGUCCGAGUUGUAAUUUGUAGAAGAUGCUUCGGGUGUGGCCCCGGUCUAAGUUCCUUGGAACAGGACGUCAUAGAGGGUGAGAAUCCCGUAUGUGACUGGGUGCCUUCGCUCAUGUGAAGCUCUUUCGACGAGUCGAGUUGUUUGGGAAUGCAGCUCAAAAUGGGUGGUAAAUUUCAUCUAAAGCUAAAUAUUGGCCAGAGACCGAUAGCGCACAAGUAGAGUGAUCGAAAGAUGAAAAGCACUUUGGAAAGAGAGUUAAACAGUACGUGAAAUUGUUGAAAGGGAAGCGCUUGCAACCAGACUUGCACGUAGUUAAUCAUCCGGGGCUCGCCCCGGUGCACUUGAUUGCGUUCAGGCCAGCAUCGGUUUCGGUGGUGGGAUAAAGGCCUUGGGAAUGUAGCUUCUUUCGGGGAGUGUUAUAGCCCUCGGUGCAAUGCCGCCUACCGGGACCGAGGACCGCGCUUCGGCUAGGAUGCUGGCGUAAUGGUUGUAAGCGACCCGUCUUGAAACACGGACCAAGGAGUCUAACAUCUAUGCGAGUGUUUGGGUGUCAAACCCAUACGCGUAAUGAAAGUGAACGGAGGUGAGAACCCUUAAGGGUGCAUCAUCGACCGAUCCUGAUGUCUUCGGAUGGAUUUGAGUAAGAGCAUAGCUGUUGGGACCCGAAAGAUGGU
Molecule: ribosomal RNA, 734 nt
Filed under: Heterosphaeria patella
Lineage: Eukaryota; Fungi; Ascomycota; Leotiomycetes; Helotiales; Heterosphaeriaceae
Description: partial large subunit ribosomal RNA
Rfam family: Eukaryotic large subunit ribosomal RNA
Source: RNAcentral